Molecule: ribosomal RNA, 489 nt
Filed under: Triticum aestivum (bread wheat)
Lineage: Eukaryota; Viridiplantae; Streptophyta; Magnoliopsida; Poales; Poaceae
Description: partial small subunit ribosomal RNA
Source: RNAcentral
AUGAAGUGGCGCCAAGCUUCUGGCAUUCUCUGUGACAAGAGAGUGCCACAAAAGCUAAAAGGCAAGUUCUAUAGGACGGCGGUUCGACCCGCAAUGUUGUAUGGCGCGGAGUGUUGGCCGACUAAAAGGCGACAUGUUCAACAGUUAGGUGUGGCGGAGAUGCGUAUGUUGAGAUGGAUGUGUGGCCACAUGAGGAAGGAUCGAGUCCGGAAUGAUGAUAUACGAGAUAGAGUUGGGGUAGCACCAAUUGAGGAGAAGCUUGUCCAACAUCGUUUGAGAUGGUUUGGGCAUAUUCAGCGCAGGCCUCCAGAAGCUCCAGUGCAUAGCGGACGGCUAAAGCGUGCGGAGAAUGUCAAGAGAGGGCGGGUUCGACCGAUUUUGACAUGGGAGGAGUCCGUUAAGAGAGACCUGAAGGAUUGGAGUAUCGACAAAGAGCUAGCUAUGGACAGGGGUGCGUGGAAGCUUGCUAUCCAUGUGCCAGAGCCAUGA